Molecule: RNA transcript, 3350 nt
Organism: Chenopodium quinoa (quinoa)
Lineage: Eukaryota; Viridiplantae; Streptophyta; Magnoliopsida; Caryophyllales; Amaranthaceae
Gene name: AP-3 complex subunit mu-like
Exons: 4
Source: RefSeq, a predicted model, not a curated record
GCCCAGGCACCACUAUUGCACAUUUACUGUUCCUUAUGAACAAGGAAAUGACGUCUUUGCCCUCUGCCCCUUUGUUGAAUUGCCCAAUUUCCCUAGGGUAGUUUUGUCUUUUUAGUCUUUAACGUGUGGCUUGUUCUUGGUUUUCCUUUUGUCGUCCUCUUUGGCCCCUUCUUUCUCUUUCCUGUUUUUCUCAUUUCCCUCAAUCUUUUCUCAUUUUUCCUUAAGCUUCUUCCUCAAAUCGCCAAAAAUGGCAUCAAUCACCGUUCCGUUUCCCUCUUUCCAUGGCUAACGCUAGGGUUUUUAGUUCAUCGAAGUAGUUUUCGAGCUUUCCCUUAGCCAUUGAAGCGGUUACUCAAGUACUUCAGAAGAAAAUCAAAAACUCCAUUCGGUAUGGUGGUGCGAGAGAGGGAGAUUCGUGGGUAUGGGGUUCAUCAAUUUGUCUUACAUCGCCGUUAAUGCCGCUGUCCUGGUUCUCCUCUUCUUCUUAAUUGUGUAAAAGAGGGAAAUAAAUUGUAUUAAUGUUUACAAUUUAUUCGAAAUGGCCACUAUCUUAUUGCUACUGCAGUUCUUCGUAUUGAUGGAAGUGUUUGGGCUGGUUGAAUUUUUUGCUUUGCGUUUUUUUUUUUUAUUUAAUUUGGGUUUAAUUUUAUGUGGGCAUGAUUGUUUUUUUAUUGUGAGAGAAUCAUCAAUUUUUAGUACACUGAGCUAUUACGUAUGCAAUACCAUAAUUUACAAGCUUGAAAUUGUUGGAACAACAAGUGUGUAGUGUCUGAAUUUUGUGAAAAAACUCAAAGUCCCACAUUGGUGGGAAAUGAGAGUUUUACUCUCUUUAUAAUAUAGAGAGUGGGCUAAAGGGGUGUGGCCCUUGGGCUACCCACAUUUUGUGGAGAGGGAGGACCUAUAUGGUAAACCAUAUAUCACACACACGCGCGCCGAACCGAGCCGGGUCGGGUUUGGGUUAUUAAACAAACUUAAUUUUUGUUACCGGUUUGAUUAAUAUUCAGUUACAAAACGUUUUACUGUUUUGGUUUAAACUUUUCCGUUACAUUGCUUGAUUCUCGUUGCUGUUUUACUGCUAACCGUUACACUGAUUUAAUGCCUUGAUUCUUGCUUACCGGAUACACUAAUUGCAGUAAACGUUGCUAAUCUUUCUCCCGUUUUCAUGCUUAAGCUGUUACGUAUCUUUACCUAUAAAAGGACGGUUCCAACUUUGUUUUUAUACACACGAAAAAAUACAAAAAACCACUUUGCAAAAUAUAUUUUCUCUCCCUCUCAAAACAGUCGAGCGGUUUCUUUCUGAUUUUCUGGUGUUCCGUUGUCCGCUGGUUCGGUGCAAAACCGCCGGUAUUUUAUACUUGUGAAAGACUGUUUUAUCCUGGGGGCAUCCGGUUUGGUACGAGCUGCUUGCACAAGUUUGAGGCAGUGCCGCGAAUGUUCUAAAGAGAGCGACAUAGUCCGCGACUCAGUCUUAUUCUCGGUAACAUUGUUCUUACUAUUUUAUUUGUGCAAUUCCGUUUAUAACAGAAAUGUACUAGUACCUUUCAGUGGCAUAGCAAAUAUGUUUGCUUGAUUGCUCGAAUUUCGAUAUGUCUUGGAGAUAAGUGAUGCAAUCUAAGGUUGAUAUAAUAUGACAUAGGAUGUUUGUCAUUUAACUAACAAUGUCUUUUUUUUAGCUAAUCUACUUGUGCUAUGCAUAAAUUGCCUUUGCUAACUCAUAACCUUAUUCUGAGAGUUGCUAUUCCAGCCGAGUUUGAGGUAUGAAAUUGAAUUAGUUUUUCCCUAUUCAUCUAAUUCACACGAUAUAGCCUCGAAAAUUACAAGAUUAUGAGCCUAAUUUGAUAGUUGAAUCAAAAUUUUCUUGUUAAAGUUGCUAUUUUUAUUGUUUAGCACCCUUGUUUUUCUCUGUAAAUCCUUCCCCCAUAUAUAAUUGAGUGAUUUUUUGGAUUUAAUCAAGCAUUUAGUGUUGGGCCACCUUUGAUUAUUUUUAUACUGGUGUAUUUGAUUGGUAUUGUUUAACCUUGUAGUUUGUAUUUUGUGAUCAAUAUGGAGCUUACCUUUAAAUCUUGCAAGCAUCAGGUAGGUGUAUUAUUUAUUUUUGUCCAUUAUUAAUGUACGAAUUUUCUACAAAAUUUGUCACGCUAAUUGAUAAUUAAUUAACUUGUGGCGUUGUUUACCUAUCUUGUUCUUUAAAUUUAAUCCCUACUCUAAAAUCAAAGAUAAACUGUUACUUCCCGAACAAAUAUCAGGUUCGAUAAAUUUGAUAAUUUUUAUUCAAUUAUCAAAUUGGUCUUAUUCCAAGAUUUUUCUUGGCGCUGCUAUCUCCGAUAUGCCAAAGGUACAAGAUUGAGUUCUAUGUCAGAUUUAUGUGGUCGUUUAUCUAUUUAUUACGUACCAAAUUGUCAAAUAUGUGGUCUUAAAGACUUAUGUUUUUGUCAUACCAAAUUGUCAAAUUGAGUUCUCUGAGGGAUUGUCGGAUUCCAGAAAAAGGUAAUCAUCAUAUUUUACUUGACUGCUUGCUGCAAUGGGGUUGCACAGUUUUUCUUUGAGUAUCUUUGUGGAAGACCAAAACAUUAAAUUUGUGCAUUGUCAACUACCUUUGCUUUUGGAGUAGUUUAUAUUUAAUACCAACAUUUGUUGUUUUUAUUGUUGUUAGGUUGGGGCUGCACACUAUAUUGCAUUUGCUGAAAAUUACAGCACAAUCUUUAAAUCUGACAUAUAUACCGACAAUGAGCAUGCGUAUCAAGGACUAGAUCUGACAGCAAAUCAUGGAACAGUGGACAUCCUUGCUAACAAGGUCUGUUCUUGGUCUAUUGGCGGAAUACCAAAGGACAAAGCCCCUUAUUUGACAAGAACAUUAAUGCUUGAAGCAGGAUUUGAAAAGCUUCAUGUAUUCCCAACUUUUGUAGGUAGCAGAGUUCCGCAUCAUGGGUAUUGCUCUUUCUGGCCUGAAAAUAGAUAAGCUUGAAGUGUCAAAUGUAGAGAAUCGGCCUUUCAAGGGUUUCAAAGCUCUAACUCGUGCAUGGGAGUAUCAAGUGAGGUCAUAAAGUUAAAAGGCUCUAGAUAUGAGCCCCGAGACCUUGGGAAAAGACUGUGCAAAGAACAUCUGCCUUCUUGAAGCUUUGCAGAAAACAGGGUCUUUCCUCCUCAUAUCUCAUCUCAAUCAUUCAUUGGACCUUGGUGCUAGGAAUUGCAUGAUGUCUGAUUUUCAAUUUGUGUGAGCCAUCUUUAGAGCUUUUGGGUGUGUCAGUUGAUUUAUUUAUUUUAUUAUGAGAUACUUGUAUCAUGUAUGUAUACUUCAAAAGGAAAUAGAGAUUUAUAGAGGUUGAAAAGUUCAAGUUCUGGCUUUUUUA